RNAcentral lists this ribosomal RNA (259 nucleotides) under uncultured Eubacteriales bacterium. Its description in RNAcentral is "uncultured Clostridiales bacterium partial 16S ribosomal RNA". It matches the Rfam family "Bacterial small subunit ribosomal RNA", at positions 80 to 339 of the family's 1533-position model. The record is from RNAcentral. Lineage: Bacteria; Bacillati; Bacillota; Clostridia; Eubacteriales.
UUCUUAUCGAUUCGAGUGGCAAACGGGUGAGUAACGCGUAAGCAACCUGCCCUUCAGAUGGGGACAACAGCUGGAAACGGCUGCUAAUACCGCAUAACACAUGGGUGUCGCAUGGCACUGAUGUCAAAGAUUUAUCGCUGAAAGAUGGCCUCGCGUCUGAUUAGCUAGUUGGUGAGGUAACGGCCCACCAAGGCGACGAUCAGUAGCCGGACUGAGAGGUUGAACGGCCACAUUGGGACUGAGAUACGGCCCAGACUCC